Molecule: ribosomal RNA, 847 nt
Filed under: uncultured bacterium
Lineage: Bacteria
Description: bacterial SSU rRNA
Rfam family: Bacterial small subunit ribosomal RNA
Source: RNAcentral
GAGUGUGAGGUAGGCGGAAUGCGUUGUGUAGCGGUGAAAUGCAUAGAUAUGACGCAGAACUCCGAUUGCGAAGGCAGCUUACCAACACUUUACGGACGCUGAGGCACGAAAGCGUGGGUAUCGAACAGGAUUAGAUACCCUGGUAGUCCACGCAGUAAACGAUGAAUACUAAUUGUUCGGGGGGCAACCCCUGAGUGAUACAGCGAAAGCGUUAAGUAUUCCACCUGGGGAGUACGCCGGCAACGGUGAAACUCAAAGGAAUUGACGGGGGCCCGCACAAGCGGAGGAACAUGUGGUUUAAUUCGAUGAUACGCGAGGAACCUUACCCGGGCUCAAACGUUGGGGGAAUGACGGUGAAAGCCGUCAGCCAGCAAUGGUCGCCAACGAGGUGCUGCAUGGUUGUCGUCAGCUCGUGCCGUGAGGUGUCGGCUUAAGUGCCAUAACGAGCGCAACCCCUGCGUCCAGUUACCAUCAAGUCAUGUUGGGGACUCUGGACGGACUGCCGGCGCAAGCCGUGAGGAAGGCGGGGAUGACGUCAAAUCAGCACGGCCCUUACGUCCGGGGCGACACACGUGUUACAAUGGCGUGGAACAGCGGGAAGCCACCUGGCGACAGGGAGCGGACCCCUAAAACACGUCUCAGUUCGGAUUGGAGUCUGCAACUCGACUCCAUGAAGCUGGAUUCGCUAGUAAUCGCGCAUCAGCCAUGGCGCGGUGAAUACGUUCCCGGGCCUUGUACACACCGCCCGUCAAGCCAUGGGAGCCGGGAGUGCCUGAAGUACGUAACCGGAAGGAGCGUCCAAGGGUAACACUGGUGACUGGGGCUAAGUCGUAACAAGGUAGCCGUA